AGUGAACGCUGGCGGUAGGCCUAACACAUGCAAGUCGAACGGCAGCACAGUAAGAGCUUGCUCUUACGGGUGGCGAGUGGCGGACGGGUGAGGAAUACAUCGGAAUCUACUUUUUCGUGGGGGAUAACGUAGGGAAACUUACGCUAAUACCGCAUACGACCUACGGGUGAAAGCAGGGGAUCUUCGGACCUUGCGCGAUUGAAUGAGCCGAUGUCGGAUUAGCUAGUUGGCGGGGUAAAGGCCCACCAAGGCGACGAUCCGUAGCUGGUCUGAGAGGGUGAUCAGCCACACUGGAACUGAGACACGGUCCAGACUCCUACGGGAGGCAGCAGUGGGGAAUAUUGGACAAUGGGCGCAAGCCUGAUCCAGCAAUACCGCGUGGGUGAAGAAGGCCUUCGGGUUGUAAAGCCCUUUUGUUGGGAAAGAAAAGCAGCAGGUUAAUACCCCGCUGUUCUGACGGUACCCAAAGAAUAAGCACCGGCUAACUUCGUG
Molecule: ribosomal RNA, 492 nt
Filed under: uncultured bacterium
Lineage: Bacteria
Description: partial 16S ribosomal RNA
Rfam family: Bacterial small subunit ribosomal RNA
Source: RNAcentral